GAUGAACGCUGGCGGCGUGCUUAACACAUGCAAGUCGAACGAUGAAGCCCAGCUUGCUGGGUGGAUUAGUGGCGAACGGGUGAGUAACACGUGAGUAACCUGCCCUUAACUCUGGGAUAAGCCUGGGAAACUGGGUCUAAUACCGGAUAGGAGCGCCUACCGCAUGGUGGGUGUUGGAAAGAUUUAUCGGUUUUGGAUGGACUCGCGGCCUAUCAGCUUGUUGGUGAGGUAAUGGCUCACCAAGGCGACGACGGGUAGCCGGCCUGAGAGGGUGACCGGCCACACUGGGACUGAGACACGGCCCAGACUCCUACGGGAGGCAGCAGUGGGGAAUAUUGCACAAUGGGCGAAUGCCUGAUGCAGCGACGCCGCGUGAGGGAUGACGGCCUUCGGGUUGUAAACCUCUUUCAGUAGGGAAGAAGCGAAAGUGACGGUACCUGCAGAAGAAGCACCGGCUAACUACGUG
Molecule: ribosomal RNA, 466 nt
Filed under: uncultured bacterium
Lineage: Bacteria
Description: partial 16S ribosomal RNA
Rfam family: Bacterial small subunit ribosomal RNA
Source: RNAcentral